Molecule: unclassified non-coding RNA, 513 nt
Filed under: Hevea brasiliensis (rubber tree)
Lineage: Eukaryota; Viridiplantae; Streptophyta; Magnoliopsida; Malpighiales; Euphorbiaceae
Source: RNAcentral
UCCUUUUAUUUUUAUUUUUCUGCAUGUUAGACUUGUUUGCCAGCCUCUAGUAACAAAUCGUUGGUGUUCAUCAAAUCAAUGUAUUUACGAUCACGUGUAUGUGUAGCUUCUUAAUUGGUAAUUUGUUCUCCUUUUGAAAGUUGCAUUAUUUCAAAGAUUGCAUAUUUGCAUUCUGUUUCAUAUAGUGUUGAUGUUGGAUGAUUGGUGCUUUUCUUGUAUAGAACAGUUUUCCUGUAGUUCUGAUGUGUAUUUGUAAGCAUUCAUUUGCAUGUUGGAUGGGGAGAACAUUGGCUUGUCGGACAUUGAGGGGUUCUCAGAAGUUGAUAAUUAUUUGCCAGCUUGAGUAGCCUCUCCCAUAUUCAUAAAUAUAGGGAUUUUAGCAAAUGAGAGAACUUUUACCAUGUCGACUUUGAAUAAGCUAGCUAGUGAUAUCUUGAGUGAGAAACUGCGAGGCCAGUGAAGUGAUAUCUUUGGUUUUUUCUUAAUUUCUUUUAGGAGCUUUGUCAGGUUCCU